GAACGAACGCUGGCGGCAUGCCUAAUACAUGCAAGUCGAACGAACUCUUCGGAGUUAGUGGCGCACGGGUGCGUAACGCGUGGGAAUCUGCCCUUGGGUUCGGAAUAACAGUUGGAAACGACUGCUAAUACCGGAUGAUGACGAAAGUCCAAAGAUUUAUCGCCCAGGGAUGAGCCCGCGUAGGAUUAGCUAGUUGGUGAGGUAAAGGCUCACCAAGGCGACGAUCCUUAGCUGGUCUGAGAGGAUGAUCGACACCACUA
RNAcentral lists this ribosomal RNA (260 nucleotides) under uncultured soil bacterium. Its description in RNAcentral is "partial 16S ribosomal RNA". It matches the Rfam family "Bacterial small subunit ribosomal RNA", at positions 27 to 313 of the family's 1533-position model. The record is from RNAcentral.